GAAUUCCGCGAAUCAUCGAGUCUUUGAACGCAACUUGCGCCCGAGGCUUGACCAAGGGCAUUUCUGCCAGAGCGUCACC
RNAcentral lists this ribosomal RNA (79 nucleotides) under Bryoxiphium norvegicum. RNAcentral's name for it is "partial 5.8S ribosomal RNA". It matches the Rfam family "5.8S ribosomal RNA", at positions 77 to 154 of the family's 154-position model. From Rfam's summary of the family: 5.8S ribosomal RNA (5.8S rRNA) is a component of the large subunit of the eukaryotic ribosome. The record is from RNAcentral. Lineage: Eukaryota; Viridiplantae; Streptophyta; Bryopsida; Bryoxiphiales; Bryoxiphiaceae.